Molecule: small nuclear RNA, 106 nt
Organism: Zalophus californianus (California sea lion)
Lineage: Eukaryota; Metazoa; Chordata; Mammalia; Carnivora; Otariidae
Source: Ensembl
AUGUUAGCUUCAGCAGCACAUAUACUAAAAUUAAAACAUACAGAGAAAAUUAGCAUGGCCUCAGCACAAGGAUGGCACACAAAUUUGUGAAGCAUUCUAAAUUUUU